UACAGAGGGUGCAAACGUUGUUCGGAAUUACGGGGCGUAAAGCGAGUGUAGGCGGUGUGGUAAGUCGGAUGUGAAAGCCCCGGGCUCAACCCGGGAAGUGCAUUCGAUACUGCCACGCUAGAGUAUCGGAGAGGUUGGUGGAAUUCUCGGUGUAGAGGUGAAAUUCGUAGAUAUCGAGAGGAACACCAGUGGCGAAGGCGGCUCACUGGCCCGGUACUGACGCUGAGAUGCGAAAGCGUGGGGAGCAAACAGG
RNAcentral lists this ribosomal RNA (253 nucleotides) under uncultured bacterium. Its description in RNAcentral is "partial 16S ribosomal RNA". It matches the Rfam family "Bacterial small subunit ribosomal RNA", at positions 524 to 776 of the family's 1533-position model. The record is from RNAcentral.